Molecule: ribosomal RNA, 253 nt
Filed under: uncultured bacterium
Lineage: Bacteria
Description: partial 16S ribosomal RNA
Rfam family: Bacterial small subunit ribosomal RNA
Source: RNAcentral
UACGUAGGGUGCAAGCGUUAAUCGGAAUUACUGGGCGUAAAGCGUGCGCAGGCGGUUUUGUAAGCCAGAUGUGAAAUCCCCGGGCUUAACCUGGGAAUGGCAUUUGGGACUGCAAGGCUGGAGUGUGGCAGAGGAGACUGGAAUUCCCGGUGUAGCAGUGAAAUGCGUAGAUAUCGGGAGGAAUACCGAUGGCGAAGGCAGGUCUCUGGGCUGACACUGACGCUCAUGCACGAAAGCGUGGGGAGCGAACAGG